Molecule: non-coding RNA, 183 nt
Organism: Pimephales promelas (fathead minnow)
Lineage: Eukaryota; Metazoa; Chordata; Actinopteri; Cypriniformes; Leuciscidae
Source: RefSeq, a predicted model, not a curated record
AAGAUCAUCUGAGCUGUGUCUUCCUGAAACCUCAGAAAUGAUUUCCCUCGGUGGUUCUGAUGUCCCCAAAAGAGUCUAUGGCAGACUGAACAAGUCACGGACUUCUCUUUUUACUCACGACUUGGCCACUUUACUUUUUGCUAUUGUAUUUCACUUUGUUUGACUUAAAGGAUUAGUUCACUU